GGAUAGUGGCUGAGUUUUGCAACCCUAGAAUGAUGUCUAAAAAAUCAGAUAACCAUCUAAUUCUUUUUGUUUUUUGGUAAGAUAAAGCAUUUAUAUAUUGCGAAUAUGAACACAGUCAGAAAGAUUAAAAAAAAAAAGAUUAUCUCAGAAUGUCUGCGAUACCAUAGUCAUCUGUUGUCCUCUACUGCAAAGGAAAUACCCAGUC
Molecule: long non-coding RNA, 205 nt
Filed under: Elaeis guineensis (African oil palm)
Lineage: Eukaryota; Viridiplantae; Streptophyta; Magnoliopsida; Arecales; Arecaceae
Description: long non-coding RNA (EGUI_LNC013963)
Source: RNAcentral